AGAGUUUGAUCAUGGCUCAGGACGAACGCUGGCGACGUGCCUAACACAUGCAAGUCGAACGGAAGUGGGGGCAACUCCACUUCAGUGGCGAACGGGUGCGUAACACGUGAGCAACCUGCCCUUCGGUGGGGGAUAGCCGGCCUAACGGCCGGGUAAUACCGCAUGUCGCUCCGAGGUCGCAUGGCCUUGGAGUGAAAGCGGCCGCAAGGUCGCGCCGGGGGAGGGGCUCGCGGCGUAUCAGCUAGUUGGCGGGGUAACGGCCCACCAAGGCUACGACGCGUAGCUGAUCUGAGAGGAUGAUCAGCCACAUUGGGACUGAGAUACGGCCCAGACUCCUACGGGAGGCAGCAGUGGGGAAUAUUGCGCAAUGGCCGCAAGGCUGACGCAGCGACGCCGCGUGUGGGAUGACGGCCUUCGGGUUGUAAACCACUGUUAGGAGGGACGAAUACUCGGCUUGACCGAGGGUGACGGUACCUCCAGAGGAAGCACCGGCUAACUCCGUGCCAGCAGCCGCGGUAAUACGGAGGGUGCGAGCGUUGUCCGGAAUCACUGGGCGUAAAGGGCGCGUAGGUGGCUGUGUAAGUCAGAUGUGAAAUCCCGGGGCUCAACUCCGGGGCUGCAUCUGAGACUGCGCGGCUCGAGCACGGUAGGGGCGAGUGGAAUUCCCGGUGUAGCGGUGGAAUGCGUAGAUAUCGGGAAGAACACCAGUAGCGAAGGCGGCUCGCUGGGCCGUNNCUGAGCUGAGGCGCGAAAGCGUGGGGAGCAAACAGGAUUAGAUACCCUAGUAGUCC
Molecule: ribosomal RNA, 791 nt
Filed under: uncultured bacterium
Lineage: Bacteria
Description: bacterial SSU rRNA
Rfam family: Bacterial small subunit ribosomal RNA
Source: RNAcentral